RNAcentral lists this long non-coding RNA (1108 nucleotides) under Vombatus ursinus (common wombat). Its description in RNAcentral is "lncRNA (ENSVURG00010018202.1)". The record is from RNAcentral. Lineage: Eukaryota; Metazoa; Chordata; Mammalia; Diprotodontia; Vombatidae.
AUGGUCAAAAGAAAUCGCCUCUUUUUUCCUCCUAGCAAGAGGUUCCUGUUGUCUUGUCGGAUGCAUGCUGAAGUUCACUGGCAAACUGUGGAUGAGUUGAGAUGGAAAGAGUACAUUCUGUUGCCUGGCUUCUGGGUUUAUUCCAUAUUAAUAUGGUGACGCCUUCACUAAAGUUCUCCUCUGAUUGUUUCUUGUAGCUUAGAAGUGACCCUGUAUUCUCAAAAGCCCUGCCAUCUGACCAUAAGCUCUGGCAGGCCCAAACAACUGUAAAAGGGUCUUUAAUCUGAUAAUCAGCUUAACUGGGUUCAAAGAGUUUCAUAAGCAGAAAGUUGGUAAACCUAGUGAUAUGAAUGUUUUGGGUCAUGGCAACUCCAGCUAGUUGUCCCUGAAGGUGUAGAGGGUUUGUAACUUUCAGUGGAGACACUACCAACACCAAUGGAUCUUUUGAAGUAACAUAGCUUCAUUUCUCUGGCACUUUGGUUAAGUGGAUUUUCCUGGUGUGUGAGGUACUAAAACUUAAAAUAUUUUUUUAAACAAAAAUCUUUCUGAAAUAUGUUAUGCUCUUGCCUGCUUUGGAAACACAAAAUAGCGACUAUGAACUUUGAUCUUUGAAGGUGUCUGUGACGUUCGUCGAGCUAGAAGUUAGUGAGUGGAUGGAAUAUGAUGGUAUGGCAUGCCUGACUGACUUCUCUGUAGGUGAGAGGGAAAGAACUGUUGGAUAGGCAUGGGUUUCCUUUCUGGAAAGAAGAAAAACUUUAAAGUAUUAUAUGAAUAUGUACUAUAGAUAAUUACACAACUGAAUCUUUUCUUGGUAACUUCAGAUCGUUAUGAAUGUCAGUUAUUGUGAGAUACUCAAUGCAUCCUUGCAAAUGAUCUGUUGAUGGGGUGGGACAUGAGGGUGAAGAGGAUUAGAAUCCUAAUCCUGGAGAUAUCCUGGAAUUUGCCUCCUCAACACGAUCACUGAUAUUAACUUGCUUUGGGAUUAUUUGCCUGUUUCUUAUAAAGGUGGUGUGAAGGAUGUGUAGCUGCAUGACUUCCAGGUCGANNNNNNNNNNNNNNNNNNNNNNNNNNNNNNNNNNNNNNNNNNGAGAGAGAGAGAGAGAGAGAG